Long non-coding RNA from Daktulosphaira vitifoliae (grape phylloxera), 1808 nucleotides. RefSeq lists it as uncharacterized. The record is from RefSeq and is a predicted model, not a curated record. The transcript has 3 exons. NCBI's taxonomy places the organism in Eukaryota, Metazoa, Arthropoda, Insecta, Hemiptera, Phylloxeridae.
GGUGCGGUCUCUAAACAUUCUGUAAUCGGUCAUUGCUUUUUUUAUUUAAGGAAUCGCUACCAUCGCUGCCGCCGUGUUUUCCCCAACAUUUUGUUUUCAUAACGUUUUGUCCCCAACGUUGUUAUAAUAGCGCGAGCUCGUUCUCACGCCGCACCGCCCACCGCAGAUAAACAAUCCCUCCCCGUGAACAAGUUGGAUGCACACGGAGACGAAUAAGAAUUAAGCUCAUUGUUUUUUACAGGCGAAACCAUUCGAUGUGACGACGCCGACGUGCAUCUUUUGCAAGAUUUACCAUUUCGGAGACGAGUUGCGCCGCACGUUAUUUCUCCAGAACAGUUCCCAGUACCGGUGCAAAUAACUCGCGCGCAUUCGAACAAUAAGCAGCCAUCGUAAAAAUGUAUGGCAAAUCACCCGCAGUGUGCACCUCUCACAAACUACGUGUAAUAACAACAACUGGCAGUCUAUAAAUAAAUAUUCCAGUGGUAUCAUAAGUUGUUUACAUUCUUUCGAGUAGUACUUGAGUUUCACUAAAAUACAAACACGACGAUAUUUUUACGUACCGAUAAAAACUACAUCAUUGAUUGUGUUAUAAAAGUGCUUCGUUAACCAUUGAGUAACUUCCGAAUGUACUGUUCAUGAAAUGUUAUCUCAAACAAAAAAUUACUCAAUCGUUAAUACCUACAUGUUGUGCGUGAGUGGUUUUUAAGUAGUUUUGGAUCGGCUUAAUAUAUAUUUUCACAUAAAAACGUUAUCAAAGAAAAUUUCCAUCCAGUCGGACAAAUCGUAACUACACUUAAAAAUAGUCGAUACAUUUUAAUAAUAGUUUUCAAGAUUAUGUACAAUCGUACUUAAUAGCAAUAAUGUAUCAGUGAUAAAAGUAACAAAUAUUUCGAAGAAAGUGGCUGAACAUUUUUUUAUUUUGUCAUUUUUCUCAGUUUUCUCAGUUCGUCAUGCGAUGUAAUUGAGUGUCCUAUCGCGAUUUACUAAUUUUACUAUGUGAACUAAUAUUAAAAUUAAUAAGCCAUGGUGGCAUAUCUUGUAUAAUAAAGUCAAGUAAUUAACUAUUUUUAACAAAAAUGAAAGGUUAAAAUAUUGUGUUAAACCACGUUUAUUUUUGGCAUAAUAAAAUUUUCCAAAAUAUUACAAUUAUGUUUAUCUAUAGAAACUUCAUGUCCUGGAAAUAAUCACGUGUUAAUGCUACGACUACAUUUGAACUGAGGUUUGAGGCUCACCAAAAUAUAAUGAAGAAUAUCUACAUUACCAGACAGAUAAAUUCUGUAUUUUACCUACAAAUUUGAUAGCGAGGUCUGUUAAUUAUUAUGGAUAUUGUUAUUAAAUCAAAAACAAAUGAAAAUAUAUGAAGGUUACCUACUGAUAUGAUCAAUUAGUAAAUGACAAACAAUCUCAUAAUCAGUCAAUGGUAGAUUUAGCUUCUUUAAAUUGUAUAGGUAAUUAACAUUAUUGUUAACAUUUUAUUUUUAAAGAUUUUAAUAUUUAAUUUGUUAUAGUUGUUGACAUUUUUUCUGUAUUAAGUAAUAAUAACUAUAUUCCAACUUUAAGUAGUCAAUAAAUAAUAAUUUUUUGUAAAUAACUUUAUCAUUUUUUAUUAGUUUAAAUUUAUUUACUAUUAAUCAUAAUUUUGGUUUUCUUAAUGUUAUUCAUACAAUUUGUAAAAUUUUUAUGUGCAUAGAUUAUCUUUAUAAAGAGGUAAACAAAUAAAAGAUAGUGCAUUAUUUAUAUCUUCUAAGAUGGAUGAAUAUUACAUAUUACUAAUAUCUUCAAUUAUUAUUAUUAGAAUAUAAUCAAUA